Molecule: unclassified non-coding RNA, 204 nt
Filed under: Hevea brasiliensis (rubber tree)
Lineage: Eukaryota; Viridiplantae; Streptophyta; Magnoliopsida; Malpighiales; Euphorbiaceae
Source: RNAcentral
UACACAUUAAUGUGCCUUGUGCCUUAAAAACUAUACAUGAUUCAGAAGCAUCCUGCCAAAUUCUUAAAAUUAAUUCAAUCCUAGAUAACCUCACAUCACAUAUAUGUGGAGAAAUGAGACUAGCCAAACUUUAGCAUAUAUAUCCCAUUCCCCCAUAUUUUGGGUAAAAGGUUGGGGGAGGGAUGACAAAGAUUUCACUAUAAA